This 411-nucleotide RNase P RNA is filed under the name Clostridiales bacterium. RNAcentral's name for it is "RNase P RNA component class A". It matches the Rfam family "Bacterial RNase P class A". From Rfam's summary of the family: Ribonuclease P (RNase P) is a ubiquitous endoribonuclease, found in archaea, bacteria and eukarya as well as chloroplasts and mitochondria. Its best characterised activity is the generation of mature 5'-ends of tRNAs by cleaving the 5'-leader elements of precursor-tRNAs. Lineage: Bacteria; Bacillati; Bacillota; Clostridia; Eubacteriales. The record is from RNAcentral.
CGAGUAAGCCGGGCAGCCGCGGGAUAAACUCCAAAGGGUUUAUCGUGAGGAAAGUCCGGGCUCCGCAGGGCAAGGAUAACGGGUAACACCCGCCGAAGGCAACUUCAGGACAAGUGCAACAGAGAUAUACCACCAAAAACCGCUUUGCGUUUUUUGGCCAGGGUGGAAAAGUGAGGUAAGGGCUCACUCGACGGCUGGAGACAGUCCGUCGCUGUAAACUCUAUCCGGAGCAACACCGUGGAGAGAGCAGAAUUUCGGUAUUCAAGGCCGGCCCGGCCCGCUCUCAGGAGGUGGCUUGAGCCCAUCGGCAACGAUGGGCCUAGAUAGAUGGCUGCCUAAGAGAUUCUUGUCUCGGCUUACGCCUCGACAAUAAUUUCUGGACAGAAUCCGGCUUACAGGCUUGCUCGUAUA